Molecule: small nucleolar RNA, 140 nt
Organism: Calliphora vicina (urban bluebottle blowfly)
Lineage: Eukaryota; Metazoa; Arthropoda; Insecta; Diptera; Calliphoridae
Product: small nucleolar RNA psi18S-1377
Exons: 1
Source: RefSeq, a predicted model, not a curated record
ACGUUCUUGUGUUUUUUGUUGAUUGUAUUAUUCAAAGUCAAUAAUUGUCAAAAAGAACGCAAAGUAAACUAAAACAACAACUCGUUAUUAUUGAAUCUGUCAUCUUAAGAUUAAAUAUAUUCCAUUUGUUGCUUAUAAUU